GGCGCCGUGGCAGAGUGGUCUAAUGCGAAUGACUAGAAAUCAUUUCUCUUCGGAGGCGCAUGUUCGAAUCAUGCCGGCGUCG
This 82-nucleotide transfer RNA is filed under the name Fulvia fulva. RNAcentral describes it as "Passalora fulva tRNA". It matches the Rfam family "tRNA". Rfam says of the family: Transfer RNA (tRNA) molecules are approximately 80 nucleotides in length. Their secondary structure includes four short double-helical elements and three loops (D, anti-codon, and T loops). Lineage: Eukaryota; Fungi; Ascomycota; Dothideomycetes; Mycosphaerellales; Mycosphaerellaceae. The record is from Rfam by way of RNAcentral. RNAcentral also lists the same sequence under 1 other name.